UGGAGAGUUUGAUCCUGGCUCAGGAUGAACGCUGGCGGCGUGCUUAACACAUGCAAGUCGAACGGGAUCCAUCGGGCUUUGCCUGGUGGUGAGAGUGGCGAACGGGUGAGUAAUGCGUGACCGACCUGCCCCAUGCACCGGAAUAGCUCCUGGAAACGGGUGGUAAUGCCGGAUGCUCCAUCACACCGCAUGGUGUGUUGGGAAAGCCUUUGCGGCAUGGGAUGGGGUCGCGUCCUAUCAGCUUGAUGGCGGGGUAACGGCCCACCAUGGCUUCGACGGGUAGCCGGCCUGAGAGGGCGACCGGCCACAUUGGGACUGAGAUACGGCCCAGACUCCUACGGGAGGCAGCAGUGGGGAAUAUUGCACAAUGGGCGCAAGCCUGAUGCAGCGACGCCGCGUGAGGGAUGGAGGCCUUCGGGUUGUAAACCUCUUUUGUUAGGGAGCAAGGCACUUUGUGUUGAGUGUACCUUUCGAAUAAGCACCGGCUAACUACGUGCCAGCAGCCGCGGUA
This 511-nucleotide ribosomal RNA is filed under the name Bifidobacterium breve. RNAcentral's name for it is "bacterial SSU rRNA". It matches the Rfam family "Bacterial small subunit ribosomal RNA", at positions 1 to 522 of the family's 1533-position model. Lineage: Bacteria; Bacillati; Actinomycetota; Actinomycetes; Bifidobacteriales; Bifidobacteriaceae. The record is from RNAcentral.